RNAcentral lists this ribosomal RNA (671 nucleotides) under Bifidobacterium pseudolongum subsp. pseudolongum. RNAcentral describes it as "bacterial SSU rRNA". It matches the Rfam family "Bacterial small subunit ribosomal RNA", at positions 63 to 731 of the family's 1533-position model. The record is from RNAcentral. Lineage: Bacteria; Bacillati; Actinomycetota; Actinomycetes; Bifidobacteriales; Bifidobacteriaceae.
CGAACGGGAUCCCUGGCAGCUUGCUGCCGGGGUGAGAGUGGCGAACGGGUGAGUAAUGCGUGACCGACCUGCCCCAUGCACCGGAAUAGCUCCUGGAAACGGGUGGUAAUGCCGGAUGUUCCACAUGAGCGCAUGCGAGUGUGGGAAAGGCUUUUGCGGCAUGGGAUGGGGUCGCGUCCUAUCAGCUUGUUGGUGGGGUAACGGCCUACCAAGGCGUUGACGGGUAGCCGGCCUGAGAGGGCGACCGGCCACAUUGGGACUGAGAUACGGCCCAGACUCCUACGGGAGGCAGCAGUGGGGAAUAUUGCACAAUGGGCGCAAGCCUGAUGCAGCGACGCCGCGUGCGGGAUGGAGGCCUUCGGGUUGUAAACCGCUUUUGUUCAAGGGCAAGGCACGGUUUCGGCCGUGUUGAGUGGAUUGUUCGAAUAAGCACCGGCUAACUACGUGCCAGCAGCCGCGGUAAUACGUAGGGUGCAAGCGUUAUCCGGAUUUAUUGGGCGUAAAGGGCUCGUAGGCGGUUCGUCGCGUCCGGUGUGAAAGUCCAUCGCUUAACGGUGGAUCCGCGCCGGGUACGGGCGGGCUUGAGUGCGGUAGGGGAGACUGGAAUUCCCGGUGUAACGGUGGAAUGUGUAGAUAUCGGGAAGAACACCAAUGGCGAAGGCAGGUCUCUG